This 253-nucleotide ribosomal RNA is filed under the name uncultured bacterium. RNAcentral describes it as "partial 16S ribosomal RNA". It matches the Rfam family "Bacterial small subunit ribosomal RNA", at positions 524 to 776 of the family's 1533-position model. The record is from RNAcentral.
GACGUAGGAGGCGAGCGUUGUCCGGAUUCAUUGGGCGUAAAGAGCACGCAGGCGGUUUGGCAAGUCGGACGUGAAAAUCCGGGGCUCAACCCCAGACCUGCAUCCGAAACUGCCCGACUAGAGGUAGGUAGGGGAGAUCGGAAUUCCUGGUGUAGCGGUGAAAUGCGCAGAUAUCAGGAGGAACACCGGUGGCGAAGGCGGAUCUCUGGGCCUUACCUGACGCUCAGGUGCGAAAGCUAGGGGAGCGAACAGG